UGGAAACCAAAGAGGGAGACGAAACACAAAGACAUGACUAAGACAUGUGUAAACACAAACGACAAGACAGAGUCUCAUAGGAGACACAAAGAAAAAGGCACAAAAGGGAACCUAGCAGACAAGAAGCUAAACUGGGAGCACAAGAAAACUCAGAAGCAACUUGAAAGGUGUUAUGCAAAGAAAUCUAAAGAGUCUUCCGAUCUUCUCCUGCCUUGUCCUGUCUGCCAAAGCAGCUUUUCUCAAGGAUGUCAUAAGGUCUGCUUGCUCCCUGGUAUAACGAUG
Astatotilapia calliptera (eastern happy) is the source of this 282-nucleotide long non-coding RNA. NCBI's taxonomy places the organism in Eukaryota, Metazoa, Chordata, Actinopteri, Cichliformes, Cichlidae. The record is from Ensembl.